RNAcentral lists this ribosomal RNA (2905 nucleotides) under uncultured archaeon. Its description in RNAcentral is "bacterial LSU rRNA". It matches the Rfam family "Archaeal large subunit ribosomal RNA". The record is from RNAcentral.
UCUGGCAAAUAAGCCAUCCGGUGAAUGGCUCGGCUCAAGCGCUGAUGAAGGACGUACCAAGUUGCGAUAAGCCUCGGCGAACCGCAUGGAGGUUUUGAACCGAGGAUCUCCUAAUGAGACCUCUUAGCGCGCAAGUGCUGAUCCGUAAGGAUCGGGAACGCCCCGGAUUGAAACAUCUAUUGAGAUGCCGUCAGUAACGGCGAGUGAAAACGGCAGAGUUUAAACUGAAUCCCCUCCGAAAGGCAGGGGAGAUGUAGUGUCAUAAGCUUAACUAUAUGCAAUGCAAACCAGUAAAGUCGAACUUGUCUGGAACGUCAGACCAAAGAGUGUGAUAGUCACGUAGACGUAAACUGGUGGACUGUGGUUUGUUCUUGAGUACCGUGGGUCGGAAAUCUCGCGGGAAUUUGGGAGUCAUCAAUUUCCAAAACUAAAUACGUCUUGAGACCGAUAGCGUAGUAGUAGAGUGAUCGAAAACUGAAAAGUACCCCAAAAAGGGAGGUGCAAAGCGCCUGAAAUCGGAUGGUGAUGGAGCGAUACAGCGUGAAAGGAUCUGUAUAGCGAAGGAAUAUGUCGCGAGGCAUUAGUACGGGCUAUACUGCCAGCGUUGUAUAUUACGUUUUGAAGAACGGGCCAGGGAGUGUAAUAGAGUGGCGAGGCUAACCACAUAUGGGAAGCCGGAGCGAAAGCAAUAUGCGCGCAACACUGUGAGGCGCAGCGUAUACAAGUGCGUGGAGUCACUAGAGUACGACCCGAAUCCUAGCGAUCUAGGCGGAGGCAGGUUGAAGCGUCUCGAAAGGGGCGUUGAGGACCGCAAGCGUUUUUGAUUUGCAAAUCAUUCGCGUGAUCCCCGUCUAGGAGUGAAAGGCUAAUCGAGCUGGGUGAUAGCUGGUUCCUUCCGAAACAUGUCGCAGCAUGACCUAACCGGAGGUCGUUGGUGAGGUAGAGCACUGAUUGGGGGAGCUGGGCGGGAAACUGCUCACCCCCCUGUCAAACUCCAAACUCCCCAACAUCCUAGAUGGUUGGAAGUCCGCAUUACGGGGUAAGCUUGUAAUGCGUAAGGGAAACAACCCAGACCGUGGUUAAUGUCCCUCAAUGUAGGCUAAGUGUAAACACUGAAAUUGGUCCUAGGUCAAAGACAACUGGAAGGUGAGCUCAGAAGCAGCUAUCCUUUAAAAAGUGCGUAACAGCUUACCAGUCAAGAUUUAGGGCGGUGAAAAUGGACGGGGCUAAAGCCUACUACAGAGACCACGGAGCACCGAAAGGUGAUCUGGUAGGGAGGCGCUCUGCAUGGGUAGAAGCUGGGGCGUGAGUUCCAGUGGACCGUGUAGUGUUGAGAAUUCUGGCAAUAGUAGAAGCAUAGAUGGGUGAGAAUCCCAUCCGCCGCAGGGGCUAGGUUUCCUCGGCAAUGUUCGUCAGCCGAGGGUUAGUCGGUCCUAAGGUGCGUCGUAACUCGAACGUACCGACAGGGAAACAGGUUAAUAUUCCUGUACCAUGUGAUUUUUAGCGCAAGCCCUGACGCUUUGGGGUAUGCUCAGCGGGACUGUCGUCCCGUCCAAGCGUAUAAUUCUGUGGAGUACCGUAAUGGUGAGAAGCGGGAGAAAGCGUGAUGAGGAAACAUGGCAAAUUCCCGGAGCCCAUGAAAAGGGAAUCAUAUGUCCGUACCGAGAACCGACACAGGUGCCCCUCGCUGAAGAGGUGAAGGCGUGUCGGAUUUAAUCGUAGUUAAGGGAACUCGGCAAAUUGGCCCCGUAACUUUGGGAUAAGGGGUGCCUGCCUGGAGAUCAGGCAGGUCGCAGUGACCGGGUCGCACUAACUGUCUAAUAACAACAUAGGUGACUGCAACUCCGAAAGGACUAGUAUAGUCACUGAUUCCUGCCCAGUGCGAGUAUCUGAACACCGGGUUCAACCGGACGAAGGACUCGUAAACGGCGGGGGUAACUAUGACCCUCUUAAGGUAGCGUAGUACCUUGUCGCUUAAUUGGCGACUUGCAUGAAUGGAUUAAUGAGUGCGAUACUGUCCCUAACACGAAUCCGUUGAACUUUUUGUCCUAGUGCAGAGACUAGGGACUCCUGAUGGGAAGUGAAGACCCCGUGGAGCUUUACUGCAGCCUGUCGCUGAAUUACGAUAAUCCUUGCGCAGGGUAGAUGGGAGGCGUUAUAUCCGUUUCUUUCGGGGAACGGGGAGCCAACGAUGAGACACCAUCCUAGUUUUGUUGUAGUUCUCACUCUUACGAGGACAACGGUAGGUAGGCAGUUUGGGUGGGGCGCCACACCCUCGAAAAAAUAUCAAGGGUGCCCCAAGGUCAACUCAUGUGAGUCAGAAACUCACAGAAGAGUGUCAAGAGCAUAAGUUGGCCUGACGCGAUCAUGCAAAGCAAAUGAUCGCGAGAGGAAACUCGGGUCUAACGAACCAAUAUAGCCUUUUGGUGAGGCUUAUUGACUACAGAAAAGCUACCCCGGGGAUAACAGAGUCGUCGCCGGCAAGAGCACAUAUCGACCCGGCGGCUUGCUACCUCGAUGUCGGUUCUUUCCAUCCUGGCCGUGCAGCAGCGGCCAAGGGUGAGGUUGUUCGCCUAUUAAAGGGGAUCGUGAGCUGGGUUUAGACCGUCGNNNNNNNNNNNNNNNNNNNNNNNNNNNNNNNNNNNNNNGGAGUCUGAGGGUAAGAAUGAAAUAGUACGAGAGGAACUUUCAUUCGGCGCCUCUGGUCGAUCGGUUGUCUGACAAGGCAGUGCCGAGCAGCUACGCGCCAAGGGAUAAAAGCUGAAAGCAUCUAAGCUUGAAACCCGGCCUAAAAAGAGACUCCGUUGAGGACUCGAAUAAAAGAUUCGUUUGAUAGGCUCCGGAUGUACGCACGAAGGUAACGACGUGUUCAGUCCGGGAGUACUAACGUCCAACGCUAGUGCUC